Molecule: ribosomal RNA, 545 nt
Filed under: Lasiodiplodia theobromae
Lineage: Eukaryota; Fungi; Ascomycota; Dothideomycetes; Botryosphaeriales; Botryosphaeriaceae
Description: eukaryotic LSU rRNA
Rfam family: 5.8S ribosomal RNA (bases 170-323)
Source: RNAcentral
CUUCCGUAGGUGAACCUGCGGAAGGAUCAUUACCGAGUUUUCGGGCUUCGGCUCGACUCUCCCACCCUUUGUGAACGUACCUCUGUUGCUUUGGCGGCUCCGGCCGCCAAAGGACCUCCAAACUCCAGUCAGUAAACGCAGACGUCUGAUAAACAAGUUAAUAAACUAAAACUUUCAACAACGGAUCUCUUGGUUCUGGCAUCGAUGAAGAACGCAGCGAAAUGCGAUAAGUAAUGUGAAUUGCAGAAUUCAGUGAAUCAUCGAAUCUUUGAACGCACAUUGCGCCCCUUGGUAUUCCGGGGGGCAUGCCUGUUCGAGCGUCAUUACAACCCUCAAGCUCUGCUUGGAAUUGGGCACCGUCCUCACUGCGGACGCGCCUCAAAGACCUCGGCGGUGGCUGUUCAGCCCUCAAGCGUAGUAGAAUACACCUCGCUUUGGAGUGGUUGGCGUCGCCCGCCGGACGAACCUUCUGAACUUUUCUCAAGGUUGACCUCGGAUCAGGUAGGGAUACCCGCUGAACUUAAGCAUAUCAAUAGGCGGAGGAA